Molecule: transfer RNA, 76 nt
Filed under: Oscillospiraceae bacterium
Lineage: Bacteria; Bacillati; Bacillota; Clostridia; Eubacteriales; Oscillospiraceae
Description: tRNA-Thr
Rfam family: tRNA
About the family: Transfer RNA (tRNA) molecules are approximately 80 nucleotides in length. Their secondary structure includes four short double-helical elements and three loops (D, anti-codon, and T loops).
Source: RNAcentral
GCUGUUAUAGCUCAGCUGGUAGAGCGCAUCCUUGGUAAGGAUGAGGUCCCCGGUUCAAAUCCGGGUAACAGCUCCA